GACGAACGCUGGCGGCGUGCCUAACACAUGCAAGUCGUGCGAGAAAGUUCCUUCGGGAGCGAGUAAAAGCGGCGCACGGGUGAGUAACACGUAGGUAACCUGCCCCCCAGUCUGGAACAACUAGAGGAAACUCUAGCUAAUGCCGGAUGAGACCACGAUCCCUUCGGGGGUUGCGGCCAAAGAUGGCCUCUACUUGUAAGCUAUCGCUGAGGGAUGGGCCUGCGGGCCAUUAGCUUGUUGGUGAGGUAACGGCUCACCAAGGCUGUGAUGGCUAGCUGGUCUGAGAGGAUGACCAGCCACACUGGGACUGAGACACGGCCCAGACUCCUACGGGAGGCAGCAGUGGGGAAUAUUGCGCAAUGGGCGAAGCCUGACGCAGCGACGCCGCGUGGGUG
This 395-nucleotide ribosomal RNA is filed under the name uncultured bacterium. Its description in RNAcentral is "bacterial SSU rRNA". It matches the Rfam family "Bacterial small subunit ribosomal RNA", at positions 28 to 407 of the family's 1533-position model. The record is from RNAcentral.